Molecule: ribosomal RNA, 492 nt
Filed under: uncultured bacterium
Lineage: Bacteria
Description: partial 16S ribosomal RNA
Rfam family: Bacterial small subunit ribosomal RNA
Source: RNAcentral
AUUGAACGCUGGCGGUAGGCCUAACACAUGCAAGUCGAACGGCAGCACAGUAAGAGCUUGCUCUUACGGGUUGCGAGUGGCGGACGGGUUAGGAAUACAUCGGAAUCUACUUUUUCGUGGGGGAGAACGUAGGGAAACUUACGCUAAUACCGCAUACAACCUACGGGUGAAAGCAGUGGAUCUUCGGCCCUUGCGCGAUUGAAGGAGCCGAUGUCGGAUUAGCUAGUUGGCGGGGUAAAGGCCCACCAAGGCGACGAUCCGUAGCUGGUCUGAGAGGAUGAUCAGCCACACUGGAACUGAGACACGGUCCAGACUCCUACGGGAGGCAGCAGUGGGGAAUUUUGGACAAUGGGCGCAAGCCUGAUCCAGCAAUACCGCGUGGGUGAAGAAGGCCUUCGGGUUGUAAAGCCCUUUUGUUGGGAAAGAAAACCAGCAGGUUAAUACCCCGCUGUUCUGACGGUACCCAAAGAAUAAGCACCGGCUAACUUCGUG